RNAcentral lists this ribosomal RNA (397 nucleotides) under uncultured bacterium. Its description in RNAcentral is "bacterial SSU rRNA". It matches the Rfam family "Bacterial small subunit ribosomal RNA", at positions 64 to 507 of the family's 1533-position model. The record is from RNAcentral.
GAACGAAGGCUUCGGCCUUAGUGGCGCACGGGUGCGUAACGCGUGGGAAUCUGCCCUUGGGUUCGGAAUAACAGUUAGAAAUGACUGCUAAUACCGGAUGAUGACGUAAGUCCAAAGAUUUAUCGCACAGGGAUGAGCCCGCGUAGGAUUAGCUAGUUGGUGUGGUAAAGGCGCACCAAGGCGACGAUCCUUAGCUGGUCUGAGAGGAUGAUCAGCCACACUGGGACUGAGACACGGCCCAGACUCCUACGGGAGGCAGCAGUGGGGAAUAUUGGACAAUGGGCGAAAGCCUGAUCCAGCAAUGCCGCGUGAGUGAUGAAGGCCUUAGGGUUGUAAAGCUCUUUUACCCGGGAUGAUAAUGACAGUACCGGGAGAAUAAGCUCCGGCUAACUCCGUG